This 1827-nucleotide ribosomal RNA is filed under the name Acidimicrobiaceae bacterium. RNAcentral's name for it is "partial 23S ribosomal RNA". It matches the Rfam family "Bacterial large subunit ribosomal RNA", at positions 1193 to 2925 of the family's 2925-position model. The record is from RNAcentral. Lineage: Bacteria; Bacillati; Actinomycetota; Acidimicrobiia; Acidimicrobiales; Acidimicrobiaceae.
ACCGAAGUCGCGGACUUCUGCUUUAGCAGGAGUGGUAGCGGAGCGUCGAGUCUGCACAGAAGCAGCGGUGGAAACCGAUGUGGAGCGGGCUCGAGUGAGAAUGUUGGCAUAAGUAGCGAGAGAGGGGUGAGAAACCCCUCCGCCGGAAGUCCAAGGGUUCCUGGGGAAGGCUAAUCCUCCCAGGGUAAGUCGGGAGCUAAGGCGAGGCCGAGAGGCGUAGUCGAUGCACAACCGGUUGAUAUUCCGGUACCACGGAUUGCGCGUAAAACGUUGACCCAAAGUGCUAAGGGGAUGUCUGAUCCUUCGGGAUCAGAAGGAACUUGAACCACUCUGGCAAGACGAGUGAAGCGGGGACACAGGAAGGUAGGUGAACCCAGGCGAUGGUUGUCCUGGGGCAAGCGUGUAGGUCGGGGCGUAGGUAAGUCCGCUCCCCAUUAAGACUGAGACGUGAAGCCGAGCCGUUUAAGGCGAAGUCACUGAUCCUAUGCUGUCGAGAAAAGCCGCUAGCGAGUGCAAUCGGUGCCCGUACCCCAAACCAACUCAGGUGGACAGGUAGAGAAUACUAAGGCGAUUGGGAGAACUAUGGUUAAGGAACUCGGCAAAUUACAUCCGUAACUUCGGGAUAAGGAUGACCUCGAUAGAGUAUUAGGCUUUACGCCUAGAAGCUCGAAGAGGUGUCACAAACCAGAUGAAAGCGACUGUUUACUAAAAACACAGCAGGGUGCAAAGUCCUAAGACGACGUAUACCCUGUGACGCCUGCCCGGUGCCGGAAGGUUACGGGGAAGGGUUAGCCUUCGGGCGAAGCUCUGAACCUAAGCCCCGGUAAACGGCGGCCGUAACUAUAACGGUCCUAAGGUAGCGAAAUUCCUUGUCGGGUAAGUUCCGACCUGCACGAAUGGCGUAACGACUUUCAUACUGUCUCAACCAUAGACCCAGCGAAAUUGAAGUACGAGUAAAGAUGCUCGUUAGCUGCAGAAGGACGGAAAGACCCCGUGGACCUUUACUACAGUUUGGUAUUGGUGUUUGUUAUGCGUUGUGUAGGAUAGGUGGGAGAUUUUGAAGCGUUGGCGCUAGCUGACGUGGAAUCACACUUGAAAUACCACCCUGCGUUUGACGGACAUCUAACCUAGGCCCGUAAUCCGGGCUGGGGACCGUGCCAGAUGGGUAGUUUGACUGGGGCGGUCGCCUCCUAAAGUGUAACGGAGGCGCCCAAAGGUUCUCUCAGUCUGGUUGGCAAUCAGACGUUGAGUGCAAUGGCACAAGAGAGCUUGACUGCGAGACUUACAAGUCGAGCAGGUGCGAAAGCAGGGCAUAGUGAUCCGGCGGUUGCGUGUGGAAGCGCCGUCGCUCAACGGAUAAAAGGUACCCCGGGGAUAACAGGCUUAUCUUCCCCAAGAGUCCAUAUCGACGGGAAGGUUUGGCACCUCGAUGUCGGCUCAUCGCAUCCUGGGGCUGAAGCAGGUCCCAAGGGUUGGGCUGUUCGCCCAUUAAAGCGGUACGCGAGCUGGGUUUAGAACGUCGUGAGACAGUUCGGUCCCUAUCCUCUGCAGCCGAAGGAAAUUUGAGAAAUGCUGUCCCUAGUACGAGAGGACCGGGAUGGACGUAGCUCUAGUGUGCCAGUUGUUCCGCCAGGAGCAUGGCUGGUUGGCUACCUACGGAAGGGAUAACCGCUGAAAGCAUCUAAGUGGGAAGCCCGUUUCAAGAUGAGAUUUCCCACCGGGAAACCGGGUAAGGCCCGUGGCAGACCACCACGUUGAUAGGCCGGAGGUGUAAGCACGGCAACGUGUUCAGCCGACCGGUACUAAUCGGCCGAGGGCUUGGAUUAU